Molecule: transfer RNA, 72 nt
Filed under: Enterocloster bolteae
Lineage: Bacteria; Bacillati; Bacillota; Clostridia; Lachnospirales; Lachnospiraceae
Also listed under: 1 other name
Description: tRNA-Gln
Rfam family: tRNA
About the family: Transfer RNA (tRNA) molecules are approximately 80 nucleotides in length.
Source: RNAcentral
UGGGCUAUCGCCAAGUGGUAAGGCACAGGACUUUGACUCCUGCAUUCGUUGGUUCAAAUCCAACUAGCCCAG